This 73-nucleotide transfer RNA is filed under the name Camelus bactrianus (Bactrian camel). It matches the Rfam family "tRNA". From Rfam's summary of the family: Transfer RNA (tRNA) molecules are approximately 80 nucleotides in length. Lineage: Eukaryota; Metazoa; Chordata; Mammalia; Artiodactyla; Camelidae. The record is from Rfam by way of RNAcentral. RNAcentral also lists the same sequence under 2 other names.
GAGAGUAUAGCUCAAGUGGUAGAGAGCAUGCUUAGCAUGCAUGAGGCCCUGGGUUCAACCCCCAGUACCUCCU